This 607-nucleotide long non-coding RNA is filed under the name Coccomyxa subellipsoidea. Its description in RNAcentral is "long non-coding RNA (CSUB_LNC000677)". Lineage: Eukaryota; Viridiplantae; Chlorophyta; Trebouxiophyceae; Coccomyxaceae. The record is from RNAcentral.
UAUUUGAGGCCCAAUUGCCAGCUGAUUAAUCUACGAAUCUUUGCAAGAGGUGCAGCAUCGCCUCCAGUUGCAACUUUUAAUAGAAGCAGGAGGACAAGCAUUGGCAUUGCCAAACGCAGAGCUUCAACAUGUCUGGCAUCACGAAUCGCAGUGGAGACAGUUGAUGACUUUCCACCCUAUUUGGUGACACACUCUAGCCUAACAGUACUGGGCAUGUCACGAAUAUAGUACUCACUCUUAAUGCCUGUUGCCCGAAUUUGUCCCACUGGCCAGAAUUGGAUUGUCUGUCAGGUACAACUGAAUAUCGUGUCAUUGAUAUUUCCAUCGUUCCUGCGCAGGAAAUCGAAUACAACCCGGUGAGAAAUGCAGCAUAUUGGAACCUGAGGCCUGUUCUUGUGAUCAGCCGGACCCUAGAGAUUGGUGAGCCUACGCUGAGCCUCUCAGAUGCGCAAGCGACAAGCCAUGUGCUGCCAAAGUACCCGUCAUCCUCCGUAGAUAAAGUGUUCAAGCCUCUGUGUUACCUCUGCAGUGACGCUUUUCGCACAGUGGUACAUCCAGUUGAAAUGGCAGCGAGGGAGAAGUAUGGAGGAGGUUGACAGCCAACAGG